AACGAACGCUGGCGGCAGGCCUAACACAUGCAAGUCGAGCGAGGACUUCGGUUCUAGCGGCGGACGGGUGAGUAACGCGUGGGAAUGUGCCCUUCUCUACGGAAUAGCCCUGGGAAACUGGGAGUAAUACCGUAUACGCCCUUUUGGGGAAAGAUUUAUCGGAGAAGGAUCAGCCCGCGUUGGAUUAGGUAGUUGGUGGGGUAAUGGCCUACCAAGCCGACGAUCCAUAGCUGGUUUGAGAGGAUGAUCAGCCACACUGGGACUGAGACACGGCCCAGACUCCUACGGGAGGCAGCAGUGGGGAAUCUUAGACAAUGGGGGCAACCCUGAUCUAGCCAUGCCGCGUGAGUGAUGAAGGCCUUAGGGUUGUAAAGCUCUUUCAGCUGGGAAGAUAAUGACGGUACCAGCAGAAGAAGCCCCGGCUAACUCCG
RNAcentral lists this ribosomal RNA (431 nucleotides) under uncultured bacterium. RNAcentral describes it as "partial 16S ribosomal RNA". It matches the Rfam family "Bacterial small subunit ribosomal RNA", at positions 29 to 505 of the family's 1533-position model. The record is from RNAcentral.